Molecule: non-coding RNA, 316 nt
Organism: Cinara cedri
Lineage: Eukaryota; Metazoa; Arthropoda; Insecta; Hemiptera; Aphididae
Source: the annotation of a GenBank genome assembly
UCCAACCUUUAAAUAAAUCUAUUAAUCUAGAAAUUGAUGGAAUUUGUAUUAUGUCAAUAUGUAGCUAUGAUUUCUUUAAAUAUCAAUUCCAUUUCUAUAUAUUGAUUGCCAAAAACUGUCUCGACUCUCCCUUUAAUGUACUGUCACGCUCUAAACUUUGUUUGCCCACACGUGUCGUAUAAAAUACAGGAAAAGUUGUUCAGCGAAUAAGUGUACAAAAUCCUUUGUUACUCUUAUAAAAUAUGUUUUGUACACGAGGACUUUUUAAACUCUUUUAAAAGUUUUUUUUUUCACGAUCGCAUGAAAUAAGCAUGUC